This 1585-nucleotide long non-coding RNA is filed under the name Homo sapiens (human). RNAcentral describes it as "PREDICTED lncRNA (TCONS_00173993)". Lineage: Eukaryota; Metazoa; Chordata; Mammalia; Primates; Hominidae. The record is from RNAcentral.
CCCAGUGAAUAUAUUGCCACCCUAUUUGAGCUCAGUGCCCUCAUAGUGUAAUGGCACCAGCAGAUCUGCCUGUGCAUGGACUUCCUGUACUACCCAUUCCUGAGGGGUGAUGCUUCUGCAGGGCCUGUGACCUUGUGCACAACUUUAGACACCAUCAUCCUGGAGCAGCCCUGCACCCUCACUAGCCAGGGUGUUCAUGACUUCCUCAAGACCAAGGCCACGUUCAAGACUUGGGACUUCAGUGAUGCACUUGUGCUGGGCAAGGUGGCUUCUCCAGUAUCUUAAUUUGGGAGGUAGAAUGCAGCUUGAGAUCAAAUGUCUGAUCAAAGAACUUGAACUUGAGCUGGAGGGCUCUGGGGAGCCAUAGAAGGUGCUGGAUAAAGGAGGGACAGUCAGAUAUAUUUUAGAGAUGACUGUAGAAGGCUGCCUGGAAGGAGUGAACAAGAGCCAGGAGACCCGGGAGGGAGCUUGUGGGGCAGGUCUGGAGAUGGCAAGGGAGGGAUCCUGCUUGGAUGAAAAGUCUUCAGGGACUGUCUCAGGUUACACUCAGGUGCCCUCAGAGCUAAUGUGUUCAGAGGUCUUGUCUCCAGGAUGAAAAUGGGAAGGAGUUGUCAGAUGAGGACAUAUAAAUGGAGGCUGGCAUCUUCAUGAGAUAUGACAGCACAGCCACUGGCCUCUACUGAAUCCUAUGCAACCUCAGAAGACACCCAGGAGUGAUGCCAUCAUGUGGUGCAAGAGUUCUGAGGGACCACAAUCCUGAAGACAUUGAAUGGCUGUGUUCCUGCUCAUUGCUGGAGGUACUGUCAGGGUCCCUGUCCUCAACCCCUGGUCUGACACUUGCAGAUCAGGCAGGACAUUCUGGAGGAAUCAUGCCCUUGGAAGGAUCCCUGAGGAGUGACUGUUGUUAGAUUAAAAAACAGUGGCAAAGAGCAAUACAGAGAGUUGCCAAAAUUCACACCGCUGGUCCAGGUUUGAAGCAAGCAGUCUGUACCUGCAGUCCUUGUCUGUAACCAUGGCACCCUGGCUUCUCACACAUCUCAUCGUGGAGUUCCACCAUGUGUCAGGCAUGGCACUGAGCACCUUCUUUUAAGAAUAUAAUUUGUAAUUAUGUAGAUUAUUAAUUCUACUUCAAAAUGCCACACAGCCUUCAUGUGAUAAAAUGAAACAAUUGCUCAACUGAUCUCCUGGGAUCUCUACUAAGAUGUUGGCAGCCCGGCCAGCUGGUCUGGCCCUGGACGUGCCUUCAUGGUCUGGUUAUGCUUCAUGACCUGCACUGUGGUCAGUGCCAUUUUGCAGACUCUGAUCACAGUGAAACGUUCCAUGGGAACUUGGGCCAUGAGAAACAUCCUUCCUAACCACGUGACUGCAGAAACAUCCUUAUCGCGUCCUCCUGGGCAAAGGCCCAACAGCCUGACUGCAGGGACAUCCUUGCCAUAUCCUGCUGGGCAGCAAGCUCUACCACCCAGAUCCCUCCCUCCCAGUCCCAUGAUUACCCCAGCCUGUGAGUGGCAGUUGGUGCUGGCACUAAGCUGGUUUCCUCCUCCCCAGGGUUUUGCUGGCAAUAAAGAUGUUGCUGUUGAAGCCA